CAAUAGCGUAUAUUAAAGUUGUUGCAGUUAGAACGCUCGUAGUCGGAUUUCGGGGCGUUCCGACCGGUCUGCCGAUGGGUAUGCACUGGCCGGAGUGUCCUUUUUGCCGGAGACCGUGCCUACUCUUAACUGAGCGGGGGCGGGAGACGGCACUUUUACUUUGAAAAAAUCAGAGUGUUUCAAGCAGGCAGCUCGCUCUUGCAUGGAUUAGCAUGGGAUAAUGAAAUAGGACUUUGGUGCUAUUUUGUUGGUUUCGAACACCGAAGUAAUGAUGAGAAGGGACAGUCAGGGGCACUCGUAUUCCGCAGAGAGAGGUGAAAUUCUCAGACCCGCGGAAGGCGAACCACUGCGAAAGCAUUUGCCAGGGAUGUUUUCACUGA
This 380-nucleotide ribosomal RNA is filed under the name uncultured eukaryote. RNAcentral describes it as "partial 18S ribosomal RNA". It matches the Rfam family "Eukaryotic small subunit ribosomal RNA", at positions 592 to 976 of the family's 1831-position model. The record is from RNAcentral.